Molecule: long non-coding RNA, 439 nt
Filed under: Erythranthe guttata (spotted monkey flower)
Lineage: Eukaryota; Viridiplantae; Streptophyta; Magnoliopsida; Lamiales; Phrymaceae
Description: long non-coding RNA (EGUT_LNC001936)
Source: RNAcentral
UAUAUAUAUGUAUGGUCUUUACGUGUAGGGAAUUUAAUCUGUUAACCAGCAUGUUGUGUCAAUUUCCAUCAAUUCCUUGGGGGUCCAUUUGGAUGGAGGGAUUUGGGGAGGGAUUUGAUUUGGGGAAUGGAUUUGAAAUGACUCCAAUUUUGGAGUCAUUUGAAAUCCAUCACUAUUGCUCCAAAAUCAACUAAAAAGGAGGGGUGGGGAUUUGAAAUCCAUCUCCAAAUCCCUCAAUCCAAACAAGUCCGAGGGAUUUGUUAUUAUGGAUUUGAAAUCCCUCCCCCAAAUCCCUCCAUCCAAAUGCACCCUGGUAUUAUUACAUUAAUUGAGCUAAUGGAAUGUAUUAAUUUGUUUCUGGCAAAUAUAACCAAUCAUGUUAUGGAGAGCUCGAUUGAUAUGUUGGCGAGGAUUGUGUGGGACCCAAUUUUCAAUGUAG